Molecule: long non-coding RNA, 154 nt
Organism: Archocentrus centrarchus (flier cichlid)
Lineage: Eukaryota; Metazoa; Chordata; Actinopteri; Cichliformes; Cichlidae
Exons: 3
Source: RefSeq, a predicted model, not a curated record
GAUGGCGCCACGGUAGGCAGCCUGUUACUGCAGCUCCCAGACUGAUUCCAGAUCUGAUCAAAGCUGUACUGACGGGUUCAACAGAUCAUAAAACAACCACCACCACCAACAAGAAGCAGAGCAGAAACUGUCAGACCAACUAUCAGACCAACAG